RNAcentral lists this ribosomal RNA (378 nucleotides) under uncultured Serratia sp. RNAcentral describes it as "bacterial SSU rRNA". It matches the Rfam family "Bacterial small subunit ribosomal RNA", at positions 521 to 896 of the family's 1533-position model. The record is from RNAcentral. Lineage: Bacteria; Pseudomonadati; Pseudomonadota; Gammaproteobacteria; Enterobacterales; Yersiniaceae.
UAAUACGGAGGGUGCAAGCGUUAAUCGGAAUUACUGGGCGUAAAGCGCACGCAGGCGGUUUGUUAAGUCAGAUGUGAAAUCCCCGGGCUCAACCUGGGAACUGCAUUUGAAACUGGCAAGCUAGAGUCUCGUAGAGGGGGGUAGAAUUCCAGGUGUAGCGGUGAAAUGCGUAGAGAUCUGGAGGAAUACCGGUGGCGAAGGCGGCCCCCCUGGACCGAAGACUGACGCUCAGGUGCGAAAGCGUGGGGAGCAAACAGGAUUAGAUACCCUGGUAGUCCACGCUGUAAACGAUGUCGAUUUGGAGGUUGUGCCCUUGAGGCGUGGCUUCCGGAGCUAACGCGUUAAAUCGACCGCCUGGGGAGUACGGCCGCAAGGUUA